This 429-nucleotide ribosomal RNA is filed under the name Chloroflexota bacterium. RNAcentral's name for it is "Chloroflexi bacterium partial 16S ribosomal RNA". It matches the Rfam family "Bacterial small subunit ribosomal RNA", at positions 355 to 776 of the family's 1533-position model. The record is from RNAcentral. Lineage: Bacteria; Bacillati; Chloroflexota.
UGGGGAAUAUUGCACAAUGGGCGCAAGCCUGAUGCAGCCAUGCCGCGUGUAUGAAGAAGGCCUUCGGGUUGUAAAGUACUUUCAGUCGGGAGGAAGGUGGUAAGGUUAAUAACCUUAUCAAUUGACGUUACAGACAGAAGAAGCACCGGCUAACUCCGUGCCAGCAGCCGCGGUAAUACGGAGGGUGCAAGCGUUAAUCGGAAUUACUGGGCGUAAAGCGCACGCAGGCGGUUGAUUGAGUCAGAUGUGAAAUCCCCGGGCUCAACCUGGGAACUGCAUCUGAUACUGGCAAGCUUGAGUCUCGUAGAGGGGGGUAGAAUUCCAGGUGUAGCGGUGAAAUGCGUAGAGAUCUGGAGGAAUACCGGUGGCGAAGGCGGCCCCCUGGACAAAGACUGACGCUCAGGUGCGAAAGCGUGGGGAGCAAACAGG